GCACUGGUUCCCCCUUAUUUUGCCUGUCGUUGGUUCGGUUUUCGUUCGCUCUUUAGUUGACUCACGAAACGCUACGCGGCGCCACUCGAGUGCUGGGCGACACACAAGUUUCACUUUUGUCUACGUGCUUGCCGAAUGUCUAUCUAUAGUAGAUUCUAUUAUACAUCUUCUUGAAUUGUUUCGAUUCGCUAUUUAAUGGCAUCCAAUUGCUGUAAUUUAUUGAGAUCGGCUCGUUCUUAUGUGCAACACUUGCGAUUUCUGCGCAUAUUUAGGUCGUUACAAACACAGCACAGGAGUAUAAUAUGAAUAGGCAGUUUUGUACGCAACACAAAGUGCGUCGUUGACAGCAGCAGCAGUUGGAAAAUAUUUAGCAAACAACUGCAGCAGCGGGAACGACUGCUGAUAUGGCGCGGGCAAGCUCUAUAUAUUAAAUUAACAUUUAAUUUGAUUACAAACGGCAAUGAUUGUUAUACAUAAGUUUAUAGACCAGCCUAUAUUAUUAGUUCAAUGCCUAUAGACUGCUGACGUCUUGAAAUAUGAUUCGAAUGAUUUAUAUAUUUAGCGACAAAGCCAUGAGCAGCAGGUAACAAUCAAAUUUCUGUUAAGCGAGUGAUGUAUAAUCGGUGCUAUAAUAUGGAUAUAUAGUUUUGCGAGUGCGCAGCAUUAUCAUGUUGAACCCCGUCACUCUAUAUUGUAUAACGAACGACGAAUGAGGAAGAGAAUUACAUGUAUAGAAUGCAUGUGCAUUGAAUAUUAGCCCGUCGUCAUGUCACGUGAGUUGUUUGUGUCAGGUCUGGCUUCUUUCUCGUCUGGUUUUCUAUAUAAUACCUCUUCCAUGUUGAAUUCUUUUUUUAUGCUAGGCCUACUUUCAUUUCCAACGCUCUGCUGGGCGACUAUACAUUGUAAUAUAGUAUAGGCUAUACUCUUACUUAUCUACAGUGUACUUUUUUUUAUAGUUUUAUAUAAUAGUUAACUGUCAGAGGACAAUUUGCUAAUAAGCGUAUUAUAUAUAGGCUACACAAAUAAUCCAAUGUCUUAUACAUGUAUAUUAUCAGUUGAAAUAUAUGGACAACGAAAACUCCCAUGCAUAAUCCAUAAUAUUUCUCGGCUUUUGACUUGUUCUAUAUGGAAACUACUUUACAUAUUGUUGCGCAUGCGAGUGCUAUGGGCAAAGAUUUUUGAGGAAAUAAAUAAAUAUAUAUUAUAUUCCCAGGUUUGAGGGAAUAAAUAAGGAGAAUAUAUGUGAAUAAAAACGAGUUUUAUUUUUCUUAUCUUCAGCACGAUCGCCGCGUGAAAUAUUUUCGCUAUAUAGUUCUAAAUAAGAUUUUUUUCAAAUUCGUUUUGCCCUUUUAAAAAAGAAUAUAAUAGCAACCAGCAGCAACAAAAAAAAUAUAUCCAACAAAUGAAGCGGAGAUACAACGUGUUUUGCAAGAAAACCGGUCGCAAUCGAUAACACUUUUGUUGCAAAAUCUCAAAUGUAUUUUCGUUUUGCAACGCAAAAACGAAGAACUGGACACGAAAACGCCAAAAAAAGCUGCUGCUGCACGUUUCGUGCUGCACCGAAAGCGUUAUCCUAAUCCAAGCAUCACGUAGAAUAUUAUAAUAAUAUUAUAGAGAAUUUGAUAGCAAUUAAAAUUUUCUAAAUUUUCCAAACCGCCGUGACAUAUGAAUAAGACAAAUGUUUUUUGGCAUAGUCACUCGCCGAAUUUCUAUGUGACGUUCGGCUUAUGUUUUUGUUUUCACAUUAGAAGCGUUGCACGUGAAUUGUUGGCGUCCGUCAGCGCAGCAUAUUUCUUUUUUCUUUUUUAUGAAUUGGCAAUGUAAAUGCAGGACAUGGUUGUAUAUAUACGCGUGUCUACAUAGCACAGCGUACAUAGUAUAUAGAUGAGGGAGGGGGAGUAUGUAUAAAUAAGAAGCCCAACUAAAUUCUUGUUACAUGUGCCUCACGUUUCUACUGCUGUGCUGCUGGUGAGAUAGAGCACCUUUUCCUUCUGCACGAACCUGACGAGCAUCACUUUUGGGGCUUUGUUCGGCAGGCGCAGACUUUGACGCUGAUUGGCUGAGCCGGUCUCUUUAUGUAUUGCAUUGCUGUACUGUCACGCUUCCUUGAACUUGAAACGAAAUAUUAUUGUAACCGCCGCUGCUGCUGUCACUCUCUGUCUAUGCAUCAUGCUGAGCGUCUGCAAAAUAUUUAAUUUUUUAAUUUGCGUAUAGACGCUUGAUGAUGACGCGAGUCCAUCGAGGUCUUUCGGCGUUAUAAAUAAUUAACACCGAAGUGUUCAAAAUGAAUGUGACAACUAUAUACUACUUCAAUUAGUUGUUCCUUUGCGCGAUUUAAUAACUCAAAGGGAUCGCAUCAAGUUUACGGGAGAUGCAAAAGCUGGGGGUAUAUAUUAUAACUAAAUAUGCUGAAUUAUUCAAGUACAGACAGACCGUAUAUAGCCUAUAGAGUUUGUUUUUCGUCUCAUUUCAACUGGGUUAAAUAUUUCGAAUUUGCUUUGCCCUUAAUUGAAUCUUGGCAGCACCUAGCCUAUAUUGCGAUCCACUUUCUGCGAAAACGUUCCUGCUGCUGUCCAAUGGCGUCGCUCCAAUCCAUGACUAUUAAUAAUACACAGGCAGCAGCAGCAGGUAUAUAAUGAGGAACAAUUAAGUAUCACAUCCAGCAGCGCUCUUAUUCAAAUGCUGCUGUAACCCUGAUGCAGUGUUAUUAUAUAUAAUAUAGUAGGAUAGAUCCUAAUAUAUAGGCUGUAUACAUACGCAAAACUUUCUCUGUUCACCAAUUCCACCUCUGAUUUCGACUUCCCUUGACAACGUCGGCCUAUAUAGAACUAUACGUAUAUGAACUACAGUUUCAGUCAUGGUGUUAAAUUAAUGAUAUAACGUUAGUAACGCUCCAAUAACACGAAGCUCAUCGAUCCUGUGUAGCUAUUAUGUAUAGGAAUUUCUUUUAUAUUCUAUAUGCUGGAUGCGGCUGGAUGAGUUGAUUAAAAUAUUAAGUUCUUUAGGUUUAUAUCAAGUUUAGGUGUUAUCAAUUUAGUUAAAUAUCAAGUGCAGCACUUAUUGUAUAGAAAUCAAUCAAGAUCUCAAUCUUUAUUUGCUUCGAUCAAAAAAGAAGACGAGAGAGAAGAAUAUUAUAACUAAAUAGCCUCUUAUUAUAUUUCUGUAAUACGUACGACUGCUGAUGCUGUUGGGAAAUCGCCCGCCGCGAAUAAAAUGUUGUCCGCAUUCGUGCAUUCGCUGUAGCAAUCGGCCAAAUGCAUGCAGGUCCGGCAGGUCCUGUUGACCCAUAUAUGGCUAAUAUAUUUUCGACUAAUGCCCGAGCUAAAAAUAAAACUAUCCACAAUUCUAAUCUAAAGGAAACACACACAUAUUACUCAUUCCGGACGCAUAAUUUAUAUUGACAAUGUCCUCCGUGACUUUUUGUGUUUCACGAUUGCGAAUUUUCUCUCUCUAUCCCGAGUGCUUUUCGCAUUCACGUUAUUCACGUACGGCAACAACAACAAUAAAGCGAAAUUCAAAUGAAUGGCGCGCGACAGCGUGGCGGCGCGGUCGUUUCACCGGUCGGCGUCUUGCUGCUGUAGCUAUUUUCGCUGGCCGAAUUUUAUUUUUAGACGCCGAGUACCUAAAAAUAUACCGCGGCUAUUGUUGUUGGUCCAGUCAUUAGGACGAAAAUACACCCACCGCAAACCCCCUUUUUUUGGAAGGGGGUGAUCCACCUCCUCCCGCUUCUAUUUUAUUCUUAUCUCAUCUCCUUUGUUUUUAUUCUUCCCCCGGUUGUGUUUUCGCUGUUGCGCAAGCCGAAGAGAACGAAAAGAAAAGAAGGAAACCGCGUGAUCGAAUGCACAAAUGAUUGCCAUCGGCGGCCAACCGAAAGUUGCAAAGCAGUACAGCAGAGGACAUUCACGUAUGGCCAUCGUCGACCGACACUUUGAUUGAUGGGGGAAGCACUUUAUAACAGUCAGCGAUUGACAACUGGGUGCUGAUGGAAUGCCUCUUGCUGCUCGCAUAUUUCAAGAUAACCAUUUCCCACGAUGCAAGGAGGAAACGUCCAUAUUAUAUUUGUCACGUUAUAGGCCUUCAAGAGGCUGAUUGAAUUCGAUGGUGUUGUGUUAUAGUCGGCAUCCUACUCAGCUGAAGUAAAUGUCGGGUCUAUCUGUAAGUUAUUAAUGUUAUUGUGAAUACAAGGCGGAAUGUUCGA
This 4198-nucleotide long non-coding RNA is filed under the name Daphnia pulicaria. RNAcentral's name for it is "uncharacterized LOC124312236". Lineage: Eukaryota; Metazoa; Arthropoda; Branchiopoda; Diplostraca; Daphniidae. The record is from RNAcentral.